AAAUAAAAUCUUUAUAUAAUUAAAAAUUAUGUAUGUAUCCAUGUAUAUAUUUUCGUAAAGGUAUAAAUUCUUAAAUAAAUAUUUGAAAUGAAUUUAAAUAUAAAUUAAACAAGUCAUGACAUUAAAAUAAUAUAAUAACAUUUAUUUAAACAAAUCACACACAAAUCUCAAAUAGUAUAGAAUUUCAGAGUUUACAUAACCAAGAGAUAUCACAUGAAAUAACAUAAUAUGUUUUAGGAAACAUUUAUCUUUAAAUAGAUUCGACGCGCCCAUUCGACUCUCCACGCGCCUCCGAUAUCAAUCACCUGAAACUGUUGAAUAUGGGAUGAGCAUACAUGGUACACUCAGUGUGGGAACAUGCAAUAAUUGUCCAUGUUAAUAAAAUGGUAACACAUAUUGUCAUAACGUAACAUAACUUCCAUACGCACUGUGGCAACUCCAAGGACUUUAAUGUCCCGGACCCUAUAUGUGGGCCCCUGGCGACAAUAUAAUGGUUGCAACCCUGUAACAUGAAAUCGCAUUGUGGCAUACCAAGGACGGUGAAGUCCUGGACCAAUUAUGCUGGCCCCUAGCGAUAAAUAUUUUUACAACACAUACGGUAAACACAUAAUAUUAAAAUGGACAAAUAUUAACCACGUGCAUGUACUGAAAUAAAUCCCACACCUGGAAAUUUAACUUGAACUUGAACUUCAACUUGAAUGCUAACUUGAGUAAUACAAUUAAAAUUCAUAUCCUAGUCGCGCCGCACCUAGUCAGAUAAAUUCAAAUAAUAACAUAUAAGGGCCUAUUUGAACUUUUAGGAAAAUAAUAUAAACUAUAGGAUCAUUUAAAAAUAAUUGAUCUAAUAAAUUUAAGUAGUAAAAUAUAUUUUCUCAUGAAAAUUUGGAUUAAGAAAUGAUUUAAUAAUUUAAAUAAUAAGAUAUAAUUUCUUAUGAAAAUUUUGAUUAGUAAAAUAAUUUAAGGAUAAAUCCAACUUAAUUAAAAGAAAUAUGUAGCUCAAAAUAAUUAAAAUUAAACCCAAUUACUUAUGUGAAAGUGAGCCCAUGAGGUAAUUAAAAAUUAAACCCAGCUAUUUAAAUAAAAUCAGCCCAUGAAAUUAAAAUCCCCAUUUGGCCCAAGCCCACUCUUCCAACUCCCCUAAUCUAAACUCACACACAAUCUUCACCUCAGACACUCAUACGCAGCUCUUCCUCUCUCCCUCUCCUCUUCUCUCCCUCGGUCUCCCCCUUCCGCCGCCACCAGGCGGCACGCCACCGCCCCGUCGGCCGGCGGUUCUGCCUCCUUUCCCUUCCCCCUUCUUCCUAUCUCCUUCUCACCCCUCACUUCUCGUCCUCUUCCUCCUCCCCUGCCCUUGUCCUCACCGCACCAGCCGCACCUGCGCCCCUCUUCUCCGGCGACCCCUGCCGCCACCGUCUCCUGCCCGGCGUCGCCUUCACCGUCUAUUUCUCUCCUGGCCAACAGCAGCACCACCAUCGCCGCCCCUGCGUCGACAGCGGCGCCGCCCAGCCGCCUCCUUCCUCUGUCCGACCAGAACGCCGAGACCUAGCGCCGCUGCCCCUGUCUCCACCUCCGUCGGAUCCGGCGGUAUUGCUGCUCAACCGUUUCCCCUCCCUUCUAUUUUCUUUUCUUUUUGUAAAACAGUGAAUAUGAUUUCGAUCAAUUUAAUAUCUGUAUAUGCAUGUUUAAAUUUAUAAAAACAAGAAUUUUGUGGGAGUUUGGUUGUUUUCUGUAAAUUGAAAGAAAGCAGAAAUCUUUGCAUAUGAAAAUAAACUAUACAAGUUUUUGAGAAUUACCGAUGGAGAUUCGGCAGUGGGAAGAAACAGGAUGAAUCUUAAAAGACUGAAUUUGUUUUGUUGAUUUGUGAAUUUGAGGAUGAUACAAUGAGGUUUAAAUAGAUUGAAUUUACUUGUUCGUCAAAGAUUUGAAGUGUGAAAGAAAUCCUGCUGUGGAAGGAAAAAAUCAAGAUUUGAAAUCAAAGUUUUGCUGCUGUGGUUGUCAAAUUUUACGGAAAGGGGGUUUGAUUAGUGAAUAGGUGUAUGCUUGUGAUUUUUCUAAAUAUAUAUAGAAUGUUCAGAGAAAUACUUGUAGUUGUAGAGAUGUAAAAACAGGAAAUGAUAAAUUGUACUGAAAUAGAAAUUUCAUAGAUUGAAAAUUAAUACCAUGUUGAUUGAUCUGCAGUUAGAGAG
This 2186-nucleotide long non-coding RNA is filed under the name Salvia miltiorrhiza (redroot sage). RNAcentral describes it as "long non-coding RNA (SMIL_LNC013833)". The record is from RNAcentral. Lineage: Eukaryota; Viridiplantae; Streptophyta; Magnoliopsida; Lamiales; Lamiaceae.